This is a long non-coding RNA of Cloeon dipterum, 787 nucleotides long. RefSeq lists it as uncharacterized. NCBI's taxonomy places the organism in Eukaryota, Metazoa, Arthropoda, Insecta, Ephemeroptera, Baetidae. The transcript is spliced from 4 exons. The record is from RefSeq and is a predicted model, not a curated record.
CUGCUUCUUAAGGUCCAGGAAGAUGAUGAAAGCCUUAUGACUGACAAAGAUAUUAGGGUUCAAGUUAGCACGUUUAUGUUCGCGGGACAUGACACCGUGACGACUGCCAGUUGCUGGGUCCUUUUUAUCUUGGGCAUAUACCCUGAAUUUCAAAAUAAGGUCGUGGACGAGUUACACCAGGUUUUCGGCAGCUCGGGACGCGCACCCAUGAUGAACGAUUUGGCCGAGUUGAAAUAUCUCGAGCGGUGCAUUAAAGAUACAAUGAGACUGUACCCCAGUGUCCCUUUCUUUGAGCGACAGCUUCGAGAGAAUGUUCACUUUCACGGUAUGUUGAAAAUGAUCUUGAGAUUUUUUGAUAAAUUUUAUAUUUCCGUGUAAUUAACAGAUGGGCGUAUUGCACCUGCUGGCGUUACGGCGUCUUUCAACGUAUAUUCCAUUCAUAGAAAUCCUGAAAACUUUCCUGACCCAGAGAGGUUCGACCCUGACCGAUUUUUGCUGGAAAAUUCAGCAGGACGACAUCCGUACUCCUACAUCCCGUUUAGCGCAGGACCUAGAAAUUGCAUAGGUCAAAAAUUUGCAAUGCUUGAAAUUAAGGUGGUCUCGUGUCAACAAUUUUGCGUCAUUUUGAAGUGGUGCCAGAACACUCAAUUGAUGAAGCAAUAAUGGAGGUUGCAUUGGUAUUGCGGCCACAGAACGGACUGACAGUGCGACUCCGAGACCGCGGAGUAGAUAAUAAUUUAAAACUACGAAUGGAAUAAACCCGAAAUGAAAUUAAAAAGCCUAGUAG